CGGUAAUACGGAGGAUUCGAGCGUUAUCCGGAUUUAUUGGGUUUAAAGGGUCCGUAGGCGGUCUUUUAAGUCAGUGGUGAAAUCCCAGAGCUCAACUCUGGAACUGCCAUUGAAACUGAAAGACUUGAAUAUGGUUGAGGUAGGCGGAAUACGUUAUGUAGCGGUGAAAUGCAUAGAUAUAACGUAGAACACCAAUUGCGAAGGCAGCUUACUAAACCAUUAUUGACGCUGAUGGACGAAAGCGUGGGGAGCGAACAGGAUUAGAUACCCUGGUAGUCCACGCCGUAAACGAUGAUUACUCGUUGUGCACAAUACAUCGUGCGUGACUUAGCGAAAGCAUUAAGUAAUCCACCUGGGGAGUACGUUCGCAAGAAUGAAACUCAAAGGAAUUGACGGGGGCCCGCACAAGCGGAGGAACAUGUGGUUUAAUUCGAUGAUACGCGAGGAACCUUACCUGGACUUAAAUGUAGAUUGGCCGGUUUAGAAAUAGAUCUUUCCUUCGGGACAAUUUACAAGGUGCUGCAUGGUUGUCGUCAGCUCGUGCCGUGAGGUGUCGGGUUAAGUCCCAUAACGAGCGCAACCCCUAUCGUUAGUUGCUAGCAGGUAAUGCUGAGGACUCUAGCGAGACUGCCACCGUAAGGUGAGAGGAAGGUGGGGGAUGACGUCAAAUCAGCACGGGCCCUUACGUCCAGGGCUACACACGUGUUACAAUGGCCAGUACAAAGGGCAGCUACCAGGCGACUGGAUGCUAAUCUCAAAAGCUGGUCUCAGUUCGGAUCGGAGUCUGCAACUCGACUCCGUGAAGUUGGAUUCGCUAGUAAUCGUAUAUCAGCAAUGAUACGGUGAAUACGUUCCCGGG
RNAcentral lists this ribosomal RNA (859 nucleotides) under uncultured bacterium. RNAcentral's name for it is "bacterial SSU rRNA". It matches the Rfam family "Bacterial small subunit ribosomal RNA", at positions 518 to 1378 of the family's 1533-position model. The record is from RNAcentral.